CAGCAGCCGCGGUAAUACGUAGGGUGCAAGCGUUAAUCGGACUUACUGGGCGUAAAGCGUGCGCAGGCGGUUCGGAAAGAAAGAUGUGAAAUCCCAGAGCUUAACUUUGGAACUGCAUUUUUAACUACCGGGCUAGAGUGUGUCAGAGGGAGGUGGAAUUCCGCGUGUAGCAGUGAAAUGCGUAGAUAUGCGGAGGAACACCGAUGGCGAAGGCAGCCUCCUGGGAUAACACUGACGCUCAUGCACGAAAGCGUAGGGAGCAAACAGGAUUAGAUACCCUGGUAGUCCACGCCCUAAACGAUGUCAACUAGCUGUUGGGGCCUUCGGGCCUUGGUAGCGCAGCUAACGCGUGAAGUUGACCGCCUGGGGAGUACGGUCGCAAGAUUAAAACUUAAAGGAAUUGGCGGG
RNAcentral lists this ribosomal RNA (408 nucleotides) under uncultured microorganism. Its description in RNAcentral is "bacterial SSU rRNA". It matches the Rfam family "Bacterial small subunit ribosomal RNA", at positions 509 to 917 of the family's 1533-position model. The record is from RNAcentral.